GAUGAACGCUGGCGGCGUGCCUAAUACAUGCAAGUCGAGCGAACGGACGAGAAGCUUGCUUCUCUGAUGUUAGCGGCGGACGGGUGAGUAACACGUGGAUAACCUACCUAUAAGACUGGGAUAACUUCGGGAAACAGGAGCUAAUACCGGAUGAUAUUUUGAACUGCAUGGUUCACAAGUGAAAGACGGUCUUGCUGUCACUUAUAGAUGGAUCCGCGCUGCAUUAGCUAGUUGGUAAGGUAACGGAUUACCAAGGCAACGAUGCAUAGCCGACCCGAGAGGGUGAUCGGCCAGACGGGAACUGAGACACGGUCCAGACUCCUACGGUAGGCAGCAGUAGGGAAUCUUCCGCGAUGGGCGAAAGCCUGACGGAGCAACGCCGCGUGAGUGAUGAAGGUCUUCGGAUCGUAGAACUCUGUUAUUAGGGGAGAACAUAUGUGUAAGUAACUGUGCACAUCUUGACGGUACCUAAUCAGAAAGCCACGGCUAACUACGUG
This 497-nucleotide ribosomal RNA is filed under the name uncultured bacterium. RNAcentral describes it as "partial 16S ribosomal RNA". It matches the Rfam family "Bacterial small subunit ribosomal RNA", at positions 28 to 507 of the family's 1533-position model. The record is from RNAcentral.